RNAcentral lists this long non-coding RNA (3836 nucleotides) under Canis lupus familiaris (dog). Its description in RNAcentral is "lncRNA (ENSCAFG00000056426.1)". Lineage: Eukaryota; Metazoa; Chordata; Mammalia; Carnivora; Canidae. The record is from RNAcentral.
UAGAAUUGACCAUGGGGAAAUAUGGAGGGUUAGCAGGUCACUUUGGGCUGGAUCUUUAGGGGUUAUUAAAGAAAUACCCCUUUUCUCCAACUGUAGCAUCUUGUCUUCCCUGCCCCUACAGAGGUGUCAUGAGCAGUGCUUUGUGAUGCCCAAGCCACCUCAACACAAUCGUUGGCUAGGGGAUCUCCCUGAUGACCAAACAAAGCUGAAGGCGUGGCUCCUCACUGGUCAGCAGGCCUGGGGCAGACCACUGAGAGGCUUUAACAUGGCUGGUAAGAUCUGUGCACCAGAGGAGACUAGCACAAGUAUGAAACAAUCAAACAAAAGCAUGAAACAGCCAGCCCCAAGAAUCAGAAAAAAGAAGAGUUCUUGUCGACCAAAGCCCAGAGCCAGUGGCAAGGUGCAGAAGAAAACCACAAAGCCAAAAAGACCUCUUCAAAGGAAUUUGAGAAAAAAAACUCCUCGAGCAUCCCCUUCUUCCUUAAGAAUGCCUAACACAGCAAUAAGGCCAACGAUAUUCAUCUGUUACCACAAGCUGAGUGAGAAACAAAAUGAAAAUGAGCCGAGAGGGAAUAAGAAGCACUGGAAAAUCCAAAAGUUCCAAGUAACAUCCUGUACAGCUAGCAAAUGCCAAGCAUGGGCUAGAAACCUUGCAUCUUCUGAAGCAGCUGUGGAGAACUGGUCAAACACAUAAAGAUCAAAUCUGGAGCAACAGGGUACACAGAUUGAUAAAAGGAAAGUCAACAAGUUGUGAAAAGGCAAUGUGUUUGUGUGUCUAUGACAGAUGAAGGGGAAAAAAUGAAGAGACAGGCAUGUGAGUAGAGAGGGAGGUGAGGUCCUGGACGGUUGGGGGCCAGACUGGCAGGUCCACAGUUAGCCAGACAUGGGGAUAAGGACUGCAUGAGGACUGAGAACUAAACACAAAUAUUCUCAGCAGUUUGUCCCACAGGCAAGAAGAAAAAGAGCUUUGGUGGUUCUAUGUGUGUUUGGUGUAGAGACGGGGCACAAAGUCAGAGCUGAGAUUGCCAGAACCCAGAUGGGAAGAGGGUUUAAUGCGUGGUGGGUGACAAUGACACUCCUCCUAAAACAGUAGACAACAAAAGCACCUUCAGGUCACCUAACCACCUCCGGGUGACGUAUGCCAUUGUGGUGUGCAUUGUACCCCACCCAGUGCUGUAAGCCACCAAAGGCCUUCAGAGAGACAAAAUCUCACCCUAUAGAAAGUCACCAACAGCACCCCCACACACUAAAAUAAUGGUGUUUGGAGGCCACAAAUGCAAGAGCAAUUAAUUAGGCUAUUUUCUUGUUACGAAGGUUUGGGUGGAGGAAUGGCCUACCAUGGGUAGGGCAGUGGGAAUGGUCUGCCCACCUGCAGGCAAUAAAAGGAAACAGCAAAAAAACAAAACAAAACAAAACAAAACAAAAAACAAAGAGGAAACAGUGUCCACAGAGAAUUUUAAUAUAAGAACAACAAAACCCAGUAAAAGGCAAUCUUGUUUUUAUUAGCACCAUAAUCAACCAUUUCUAAAUUUUAAUAUAUAUGUAAGGUCCAAAUUAGCCAAUUUUUAGAAUGCAUGUUUUAAUAAUCAUCUUAUUCUACAAGGAAGUUACUUUGACAAAUUCUUGUCAAAUAGUUGGUCCCAGGGAGAGGCUGUUCUUUUCUAAAGUAAGUUCUUAACCAUUUAGAAUCAUUUGAGCUUGCUUUGAGCACACUUCCAGACUGCGAUCCCUGUGGCCAUAUAUAAUACACAUAACCCAUAUUUUUAAAAAUAUUUUAUUUAUUUAUUCAUGAGAGACACACACACAGAGAGAGAGAGAGGCAGAGACACAGGCAGACGGAGAAGCAGGCUCCAUGCAGGGAGCCCAACGUGGGACUCGAUCCCGGGACCCCAGGAUCAUGCCCUGGGCUGAAGGUGGCGUUAAACCAUUGAGCCACCCAGGGAUCCCCACAUAAUCCAUAUUUUAAAAGUAGAUUCUAAAUUUAAAAUUAUAGCACAGUGAUUAUAAAGACAAAGACCAACUUGAGUUACUUCGGCUGAGAUUCCAUGCAAUCAAUUUUUUUUAUUGACGUCUAAAUUGGUGAAGCAAAGUGCAAUUCAAAGAAUAAAGUUUUAGAGUGUAAUGAAACUUUUACUUUGUUUGAAAAUAAAUAUUUUCCUGAAUUUAAACAAUAUCUUUUUAAAAGAUAUUUUUUCAUUUGAGAGAGAGAGAGAGAAUGAACAAGAGCAGGGGAGGGGCAGAGGGAGAAGAAGACUCCCUACCAAGCAGGGAGCCUGACCCAGGGACCAUAUGCAGACCCUGAUCCCAGGACCCUGAUUCCUGGACCCAGAGAUCAUGACCUGAGCUGAAGGCAGAUGCUGAACCGAAUGAGCCACCGGGGCACCGCAUAAACAUCUUUAAACAUGAAAUGCAUUCCUUAAUUGUUCAUUAUUUUAAUACUACAUUAAAAAUCAAAAUAACAUCUUAGAUCGGUUGUAUGAUUUAGUAGCUGCCUAAAUUGUAACCUUUGCACGUGUUUUGAUCUCAAAAUCUCCUUAUGAUUUUUACAGUGAUAGUUAUGUAUAAAAUGUUCCAUAUGGGCAUCUGGCUGGGUCAGUUGGAAGAGCAUGAGAUUCUUGAUCUCGGGGUUGUGGAUUCAAGCCCCUUGUUGGGUGUAGAGAUUACUAAAAAAGUAGACUACGUAAAUUCAAAAUGUGCAAUUUGGUGAGUUUCAAUAUACAUAAACAUCUGGUAAACCAUCACACCAAAUCACAAUCGUGAAUAUAUCCAACUAUAAUCCCUUAAAGUUUCCUCAUGCCUCUUGAUGAUCCCUCCUCCCCCUCACCACCUCCAUCCCCAAGCAACCAUUAAUCUUCAUUCUAUCACUACACAUUAGUUUACAUUUUCUAUAAUUUUAUAUAAAUGGAAUCCCAGAGAACAUCCUCUUGUGACUACCUUCUUUCACUGGGUAUAAUUAUUUUGAGUUACCUACACUGUGUAAAUCAGUAGUUCAUUGCUUUUUAUUGCUGAGUAUUCCACAAAAAAAAAUUUAGCCACACACUGUCCAUUCACCUGUUGUUAAACAGGUGGUUGCUUCCAGUGCUUAGCUAUUACAAGAAAGGUGCUAGAAACAUUCAUGUACAAGUCUAGGUACGAAUAUAGGGUUUCCUUUCUCUUGGGUAAACACCUAGGAAUGGCUAGAACACAUGCAGGUGUUUAACUUUUUAAGAAACUGUCAAACUUUUUUUUCAAAGUGAUUGUACCACCAGCAGUGUAUGAAAGUCCCAGUUCCUCUACAUUCUCACCACUUGACAUGAUCAAUCUUUUUUUUCCUGAAUGUAAAUCCAUUUUUACCUUUGGUUCUGUCUUAUCCUUUCUCUACCACACUCCUGUUAUUUUUUUAAAAUUGUAGUUGACAUACAAUGUUAUAUUAGUUUAAAUCUAUAACAACCCUACACAUUAUGCAAUGCUCGCCAUAAAUAUAGUCACCAUCUGUCGCCAUACAAAGUUAAUUACAAUAUUAUUGACUAUAUUCCCUAUGCUGUACUUCUCAUCCUCAUGACUUAUUUUAUUUUAAACAUUUUAUUUAUCCAUUCAUGAGAGACACACACACAGAGAGAGAGAGAGAGAGAGAGACAGAGACAAAGGUGGAGAGAGAAACAGGCUCCCUGCAGGAAGCCUGAUCCCACAUCAGUAUCCUGGGAUCAUGCCCUGAGCCAAAGGUAGAUGCUCAACCACUGAACCACCCAGGUGCCCCUGGUCCAGAGAUUCUUUUUUUUUUUAAAGAUUUUAUUUAUUCAUGAGAGACACACACACAGAGAGAGAGAGGCAGAGACACAGGCAGAGGGAGAAGCAGG